AGGACGAACGCUGGCGGCGCGCUUAACACAUGCAAGUCGAGCGAGAACCAAGCCUUCGGGCUUGGGGAAAGCGGCGAACGGGUGAGUAACACGUGGGUAACCCACCCUUGGUACUGGGAUAGCCCGGGGAAACCCGGAUUAAUACCGGAUAGCCCAACAGCUCUUAGGGGCGGUUGGAAAAGGUAGCUUCGGCCUCCGACCAAGGACGGGCCCGCGGCGGAUUAGCUUGUUGGUGAGGUAACGGCUCACCAAGGCGACGAUCCGUAGCUGGUCUGAGAGGACGAUCAGCCACACUGGGACUGAGACACGGCCCAGACUCCUACGGGAGGCAGCAGUGGGAAUCUUGCGCAAUGGGCGAAAGCCUGACGCAGCGACGCCGCGUGGGGGAAGAAGGCUUUCGGGUUGUAAAACCCCUUUCAGGAGAGACGAAGCCACUCAGGUUAAAUAGCCGAGAGGGUGACGGUACCUUCAGAAGAAGCCCCGGCUAACUACGUGCCACGCAGCCGC
RNAcentral lists this ribosomal RNA (507 nucleotides) under uncultured bacterium. RNAcentral's name for it is "SSU rRNA". It matches the Rfam family "Bacterial small subunit ribosomal RNA", at positions 26 to 518 of the family's 1533-position model. The record is from RNAcentral.